UAGCAGAUUUAGAGGCAAACCAACUUUCCACAGCAGUAAUGAUCUCUUCAUUAUUGAAGAAAUUUCUUCUCUGUAAAUGUCUUUUCAUAUUUUGAAACCAGAAAUAUACCUGAAGGUGGCAGGUUGGAAGAAUAUCAGGGGGAUGAGGCAAGGCUACAUAGCACUAUUUAUGCAUAAAAAUAAUUGUUUUUGCAAUUGGUAUAUAGGUGCAUUAUUAGCUAGCAACAAUACAUUUUUUGAUAGCAAAUCAUGUCUUUUUUCCUUGAUAUUCUCCUUUAACUUUUGUAGCAAGUUCCUGUAGUAUGCCCCUGUUAUUGUUGAUUCUUUUUUGUAAAUAAUUUGUCAUUAUGC
This 351-nucleotide long non-coding RNA is filed under the name Androctonus crassicauda. Lineage: Eukaryota; Metazoa; Arthropoda; Arachnida; Scorpiones; Buthidae. The record is from RNAcentral.